AACGAACGCUGGCGGCAUGCCUAACACAUGCAAGUCGAACGAGACCUGCGGGUCUAGUGGCGCACGGGUGCGUAACGCGUGGGAACCUGCCCUGAGGUUCGGAAGAAAGCCGCGGAAGGGGUGCGAAUACGGGAGAAUGUCCUCGGACCAAAGUUUGGUAGACUUUGGGUGGGCCCGCGUUGGCUUAGCUAGUUAGUAGGGUAAAAGCCUACAAAGGCGACGAUCCAUAGCUGGUCUGAGAGGAGGAUCAGCCACACUGGGACUGAGGCACGGCCCAGACUCCUACGGGAGGCAGCAGUGGGGAAUAUUGGCCAAUGGGCGAAAGCCUGAUCCAGCACUGCCUCGUGAGUGCUGAAGGUCUUAGGGUUGUACAGCUCUUUUACCGCGAUGAUAAUGACCGUACCGGGCGAAUAAGCCCCGGCUAACCCCGUG
Molecule: ribosomal RNA, 432 nt
Filed under: uncultured bacterium
Lineage: Bacteria
Description: partial 16S ribosomal RNA
Rfam family: Bacterial small subunit ribosomal RNA
Source: RNAcentral